CGAGUGGAAACAUUCGCUAAAACCCCAUAUGCCCCAGGGUGAAAAAGAGGAAAUUAGUAAUACUGAAUAACCUCUGCCUGAAGAGAAGCUCGCGGCUGAUUAGCUAGUUGGUAGGGUAAUGGCUCACCAAGGCGACGAUCAGUAUCUGGUUUGAGAGGACGAUCAGACACACUGGAACUGAGACACGGUCCAGACUCCUACGGGAGGCAGCAGUGAGGAAUUUUCCGCAAUGGGCGAAAGCCUGACGGAGCAAUACCGCGUGAGGGAUGACGGCCUAUGGGUUGUAAACCUCUUUUUUCAGGGAGGAAUCAAUGACGUGUACCUGAAGAAUAAGCAUCGGCUAACUCCGUGCCAGCAGCCGCGGUAAGACGGAGGAUGCAAGUGUCAUCCGGAAUCACUGGGCGUAAAGCGUCUGUAGGUGGUCUAGUAAGUCAACUGUUAAAUCUUGAGGCUCAACUUCAAAAUCGCAGUCGAAACUAUUAGACUAGAGUAUAGUAGGGGUAAAGGGAAUUUCCAGUGGAGCGGUGAAAUGCGUAGAGAUUGGAAAGAACACCGAUGGCGAAGGCACUUUACUGGGCUAUUACUGACACUGAGAGACGAAAGCUAGGGUAGCAAAUGGGAUUAGAUACCCCAGUAGUCCUAGCCGUAAACAAUGGAUACUAGAUGUUGAACAGAUCGACCUGUGCAGUAUCAAAGCUAACGCG
Molecule: ribosomal RNA, 704 nt
Filed under: uncultured Phaeodactylum sp.
Lineage: Eukaryota; Bacillariophyta; Bacillariophyceae; Surirellales; Neidiaceae
Description: bacterial SSU rRNA
Rfam family: Bacterial small subunit ribosomal RNA
Source: RNAcentral